GCCGGGUGUGGUGAUGCACACCUGUAAUCCCAGCUACUCGGGAGGCCGAGGCAGGAGAAUUGCUUGAACCCAGGAGGCAGAGGUUGCAGUGAGCCAAGAUUGUGCCACUGUACUCCAUCCUGGGUGACAGAGCAAAACUCCGUCUCAA
Molecule: non-coding RNA, 148 nt
Filed under: Chlorocebus sabaeus (green monkey)
Lineage: Eukaryota; Metazoa; Chordata; Mammalia; Primates; Cercopithecidae
Source: Rfam by way of RNAcentral